GCUCAAGAAGAUACAAAUGGGUUGCAUCAUUUCUUGUUCUACUAGCUUUCUCAGCUGCUGGACAAGUUGAAGAUGGUACGCCCUUCUUCUUCUCUUUCUACUUUACUCUUUUAAGCUUCACCAAAUUAAACUGCAUUAUUUUUUUCAUUAAUUAAUUUCAUACUUCAAUCUUGAUGAGAUGUAUGUACCUGCGUGGAAUUAGAUCUGUUGAAGAAUUCCGUUUUGUCCUCAUUUUCAGCUUAAAUGUAUGUUAAUUUACCAUUUAAGGACUCAAAUUUUAACAUUGAUAGAAACAUUUAGUUUUUAAGCAAUAUAUGUGUUCUUAAAUUUUGUUACCUCUAUCUCAAACAAGAUUAAUUUCCUCCAAUUUCGGAGCAGCAUUUUAAUAUAUGUUAAUAUCACAUGAAAAUAUUACUAUAAGUUACAAUAGAUUUUUUUAUAAUAUCUAAUAGCGUUAUUAAUGGCAGUAUUAUUAGCAUUAAUAAGUAAUCAUGUUGUUGAUGUUGAUGAUCAUGAGGUGUUAUUGCGACACCCUCACCCUGUGCUGUAAGAAUCAUGACAAUGCAGGGGUUAUGGUCUUCACUCUACACAAUUAAACCGCUACUUCUAUUUUGAUUUGCAUAUAAAAUAUUAUAAGUUCUCUUCAAUUUCUAUAUUUCGUAGUAUUCGUACACCGUCAUUGGGAGAGUAGGGGUAGGGGUUGUGAGUUGGUAGACGAGGCAAGCAGUCUCGUGACUAAUUUCAAUAAUUAUCAUUUGUUACAUUUUAAAGCACACAAAGGUACUACCGAUGGGACUUAUUUGUAAAUGUUCCUUCAUAUGUGACCAUAUUUGUGAAGAGCAGUGCCGUGUGAAGUGAAUGUUCCUUCAUAUCGUACAUUAUUUUGUGGUACGACUUUUAAAUGGGCUCAAUAAUAAAUACAUUUUCUUUAUAUGGGUGAAGGCUCAUUCCCUCUAUUUUUCCAUAAUGUGUUCAAAAAAUAUAACUUUAUGUAUAUAUAAGUCUUCAGAUAAUAGACACUAAGCUUAAAUUAAUUCCAAAAAUUAGCUUAUGAAGCUUAGAUCUUAAAAAGGAGACAAUAUCGGAAACAAAGACAACUAAAUCUCAACUUCAAUGAGUUGAUAUCGCCUAAGUGAAGAUAUAUUUUUGUUAUAUAUCUUGAGUAAAAAAUUUAUUAUGGAAAUUCUGGGUUACCUUCUCUCAGUGCUGAAAGUUAUAGAGAAAAACAAAAACAACCCCAUAAUAUUUAUACUUAUUAAAUUACCAAUCCAACCUGAGUGUUGCAGGUCCGUUAGUUAACGGUGAUUUUGAGACACCUCCAUCAGGCGGUUUCUCUUCCGGCGACGGAUUCUCUGAUGGCCCUCUCGUACUCCCCAGCUGGAAAACAAACGGCACGGUGGAGCUAGUGGAAUCAGGGGAAAAACAGGGUGGGAUGAUCCUCAUCGUACCACAAGGUAGACACGCAGUUCGGCUCGGAAACGACGCCGAGAUAAGCCAAGAGCUCAAAGUGGAGAAAGGCUCCAUUUAUUCAGUCACCUUCAGCGCGGCUCGCACCUGUGCCCAGCUAGAGUCACUGAACGUGUCGGUUCCUCCCGCGUCACAGACUAUCGAUCUUCAGACUCUGUAUAAUGUCCAGGGCUGGGAUUCCUACGCGUGGGCCUUUCAAGCUGAGGAAGAUGACGCGCGUGUCGUUUUCACAAAUCCUGGCAUGGAAGAUGACCCUACUUGUGGGCCCAUUAUUGAUGAUAUUGCUAUCAAGAAGCUUUUCAAUCCAGAUAAGUCCAAAGGUAAGGUCACUUCUGUUUCUUAUUUGGGCCCAUUUCCAGCUGUUUAUCAUCACGUUUUGGUCAAACAUUUGAUUAUAAUUGAAAUAUCUAUGUGUUGGAGAAAAAAUAAGAAUGACAAAAACGAAAAACAAAAUAAGGUUUGGCAUAGAAGUACUGCAAAUCUCAAAAUUAGUUUUUGAUGUUUUCAUAACUUCUCAUAUUUGAGAGAAUUAGAAAAAAAUUCAGACGAUCAACAUGAAGCUGAGAAAUAGGUGUAUUCAUUCACCUUCAAGCUAGUUUUUCGACGACUUUAAUGUAUUUCUCACAUGGCUUGGACAUGAAACUCGUGAUGGAUGCAUAAACAAAAGACAUUCUUUUGAUGUAAAAAAAACAUGAAGCAGAAUGCAACAUGUAAAGAACUACAAAUGUUGCUAAAUUGUUCCUUAUGUUGGCUAUCGGAGCAGAUAAUGCAGUACUUAAUGGUGAUUUUGAAGAAGGUCCAUGGAUGUUCAGGAAUGCUUCCCUCGGCGUUUUGCUUCCAACUAACCUCGACGAGGAAACAUCGUCGCUACCUGGUUGGAUAGUUGAAUCAAAUCGAGCAGUUCGGUAUAUUGAUAAUUAUCACUUUACAGUUCCAGAAGGGAAAAGAGCUAUAGAAUUGCUUUCAGGAAAAGAAGGCAUUAUAUCCCAGAUGGUUGAAACCAAGCCCAACAAGCCAUACAGAUUGACAUUUUUGUUGGGCCAUGCAGGGGACUCAUGCAAGCAGCCACUGGCUGUUAUGGCGUUCGCCGGUGAUCAGGCCCAAAACAUCC
RNAcentral lists this long non-coding RNA (2578 nucleotides) under Nicotiana benthamiana. Its description in RNAcentral is "long non-coding RNA (NBEN_LNC015124)". Lineage: Eukaryota; Viridiplantae; Streptophyta; Magnoliopsida; Solanales; Solanaceae. The record is from RNAcentral.